This is a non-coding RNA of Xenorhabdus nematophila ATCC 19061, 331 nucleotides long. The record is from Rfam. Lineage: Bacteria; Pseudomonadati; Pseudomonadota; Gammaproteobacteria; Enterobacterales; Morganellaceae.
UUUCUGGCCACAGUUUACUAAACUAUGAAUGGCAAGAUUGAAAUUGUUUGUUAUCUGUUUGAUCGAACAAAAGUGCAGCAAUGGCGUAAGACGCAAUGUUUUAUCAAACAAUUUAUGGGCUGCGAGUGGCAGCUUACUGGACUGGGUGAAAUCUGUACUGAUUUAUUACAGUAUUCCCAAUAAAGAGUGUGUAUUUAAAUGAAAUUCAGACUCACCGGCAAAUAGGCGCCUCUAUACAAACGAUAGCCGUGAGGCUGACGGUUUUGUAAAAGACACGAGGCCAUCGGUAACCAGUAGCUAAUCUCUUUUUUUACUCGUAGCUCUAUACCAA